This 380-nucleotide ribosomal RNA is filed under the name uncultured eukaryote. RNAcentral's name for it is "partial 18S ribosomal RNA". It matches the Rfam family "Eukaryotic small subunit ribosomal RNA", at positions 592 to 976 of the family's 1831-position model. The record is from RNAcentral.
CAAUAGCGUAUAUUAAAGUUGUUGCGGUUAAAAAGCUCGUAGUUGGAUUUCUGCCGAGGACGACCGGUCCGCCCUCCGGGUGAGUAUCUGGCUCGGCCUGGGCAUCUUCUUGGAGAACGUAGCUGCACUUGGCUGUGUGGUGCGGUAUUCAGGACUUUUACUUUGAGGAAAUUAGAGUGUUUCAAGCAGGCAUACGCCUUGAAUACAUUAGCAUGGAAUAAUAAGAUAGGACCUCGGUUCUAUUUUGUUGGUUUCUAGAUCUGAGGUAAUGAUUAAUAGGGAUAGUUGGGGGCAUUCGUAUUUAACUGUCAGAGGUGAAAUUCUUGGAUUUGUUAAAGACGGACUACCGCGAAAGCAUUUGCCAAGGAUGUUUUCAUUGA